Molecule: long non-coding RNA, 773 nt
Filed under: Callithrix jacchus (white-tufted-ear marmoset)
Lineage: Eukaryota; Metazoa; Chordata; Mammalia; Primates; Cebidae
Description: lncRNA (ENSCJAG00000079624.1)
Source: RNAcentral
GGUUUCAAAGGCAGGAGUUUCCCAGCUCCAUGCCUCCAUCCAGGAACCAGAGGGGUUUCAAAUGUAAAGUUCUUUGUGUGGGUUCCCCACACCACAGGCUAGGUAGAAAAAGCCAAGUGAGGUUCAUUUGUCUCAAAAAAAACCACCAAAACCUCUGGGAGGAGGGGGCUUUGUAACUCAGAGUUGUGGACCAAGCAGCCAAUUCAGUAUCAGAGUCAAAGAUUAAUCACUCCGGAGGACGUUUGAAAUAACUCCUCUCAUUGGACAAGAACAUGAAUGGGGAGGGAAUAACUCAAGGGUUAAAACUCCAGCUGCUUCCUACGUAUAUGGAUAUCUUCUCUGGGUCCCCUCCGGACGACGUGGGAGCUGUCUUUCUUUCUCUCUCUCUCUGUCUAAUAAAUUGCUGUUUGGGAGGCUGAGGCGGGUGGAUCACGAGGUCAAGAGAUCGAGACCAUCCUGGUCAACACGGUCCAAAAGGGAGUGUGGUUUCAAAGGCAAGGCCUUCCCAGUGCCAUACCUCCACUUACUUCUCCAUCCAGGAGCUUAGAGGUCUUUGUUUAACUUUCACGCAUGCGGGAAGAUGGACUGCCCAGCUCACUCUUUGGUUUGCAGAAAUCUCCCACAAAUGCAACUUUGGUGAAAGAGAACGUGGAGUUGAAUUUCCUGAGAUUAAAUGUAACUGAUGUAACUCCGCUAUAUGCAGGAAAAUGUUCUAAUAAAUAUUACUCUUUGAUACAAAAUGAGAUGCAAGUAUGCUGAAAAUUAUCAGAUGA